This 383-nucleotide ribosomal RNA is filed under the name uncultured eukaryote. RNAcentral describes it as "partial 18S ribosomal RNA". It matches the Rfam family "Eukaryotic small subunit ribosomal RNA", at positions 592 to 976 of the family's 1831-position model. The record is from RNAcentral.
CAAUAGCGUAUAUUAAAGUUGUUGCAGUUAAAAAGCUCGUAGUUGGAUUUCUGGUGGGAGCGAUCGGUCUGGCGCUUAGCGCGAGUACUUGCAUCGUCUCCGGCCAUCCUUGGGGAAAGUCUGUCUGGCAUUAAGUUGUCGGGCAGAGGAUCCUCAUCGUUUACUGUGAAAAAAUUAGAGUGUUCAAAGCAGGCUUAUGCCGUUGAAUAUAUUAGCAUGGAAUAAUAAGAUAGGACUUUGGUACUAUUUUGUUGGUUUGCGCACCAAAGUAAUGAUUAAUAGGGACAGUUGGAGGUAUUCGUAUUCCGUUGUCAGAGGUGAAAUUCUUGGAUUUACGGAAGACGAACUACUGCGAAAGCAUUUACCAAGGAUGUUUUCAUUAA